Molecule: long non-coding RNA, 236 nt
Filed under: Pan troglodytes (chimpanzee)
Lineage: Eukaryota; Metazoa; Chordata; Mammalia; Primates; Hominidae
Description: long non-coding RNA NONPTRT014822
Source: RNAcentral
UACUAAUGAAGAUAUGGCUGAUCAGGCAAUUGGAGAAUCUGAUGACUAUGUGUCUUGGGGUUGAUCUUCUUGUGGAGUAUCUUAGUGGUAUUCUCUGUUUUUCCUGAAAUUGAAUGUUGGCCUGUCUUGCUAGGUUGCAGAAGUUCUCCUGGAUAAUAUUCUGAAGUGUGUUUUCCAACUUGGUUCCAUUCUCCCUGCCUCUUUCAGGUACUACAAUCAAUCAUAGGUUCAGUCUU